RNAcentral lists this unclassified non-coding RNA (696 nucleotides) under Hevea brasiliensis (rubber tree). Lineage: Eukaryota; Viridiplantae; Streptophyta; Magnoliopsida; Malpighiales; Euphorbiaceae. The record is from RNAcentral.
GGUUGGGGGAGAACAUGCUGUUGAGAAAUAAGCACCACUGACAAAACAAACUGCACCCUACAUACAAAAUGGCCACAAGAAACGACAGGCGGAGAAUUUUAUACUAUGGUAGAACUCCAGCACAUCUCGAAGUAUUCAUUGCUGGAUGAUGCAAAGUCACUUCUUUUUUUUUACUUGCAGAGUCGAGGGCAAAGGUGCAGGCCUCUUCUUAGUAAAAGCUUUUGAUUUGCUUUCUGAUUCAUCUUCAUCACUUUCUUCAUCAACUUUCCCAUCUUUGUUGGAUAUUGUUGAUGCUUCAGAGCUCUUCAAUUUUCUUCUUUUCUCAGCAUCCAAUUUAGCACGUAGCCUUCUUUCAGCGGGGUCAUUUGAGAGUACUGUUUGGGAUUGACGUGGAACUGCAGCACCAAUUCCAAGCCUGGGUGGUCGACUCUCUAGAACAACCACAGUUGGGUUAGCAUCAUCAGAAGAGUUACCCAUACUGUUGACCCAUUGCUCAGCCAAUUUGAACGCCUUGUUCAAUACAACCAAUUGAGGACGUGAAGUUUUCUUUGAUGACUCUUCCAAACUUGUCGUCAUAUUAAACCACCAGGUAAGAUACAACAGAAUGCCCUAUGAGUUACUCUGUGAUGGGUUCUAGACCACAACCCAAGUGAAGCUUUUCUCAGCCUCUGCAAUAUCUUAAUCCCAUAUUUUCUA